UUUGUCAAAAACAAAAUCGGUUGCCUAUAAAAGGCAGCGGCGGUACCAUUGGAAUGCAUCAGUGAGCAUUUUGCAUUCCUGUCAUCAACAAGUAUACCACACAAAUCAGCGAUACAACGCAUAACACUAUAAUGGCUUUCAGUAUGUUUCAAAUCCGGAAAUGGACCAUUGUCGCCGCCGCGUUGUUCAUCGUUUACGUGUUGCCGACUACGGAAGCUACUGCAAUGAGGAAAAACGUUUAUGGUGGUGGAUGUAACGGUUAUGGUAACGGUUUUGGUAACGGUGCUUGUGGUAACGGCUAUGGAAGUUACGGAGGAUGUUACUGAUAAUGUAGCAGUCAAAGAUGCACAAAUGCACUCGUUGUAUUUGAUAUGCCUUUAUUUAUUUGAACUAAUUUGUAUAUUGAAAUAAUAACAAUAUAAAUAAUUAGUUUUAUAACACA
Long non-coding RNA from Adelges cooleyi (spruce gall adelgid), 442 nucleotides. RefSeq lists it as uncharacterized. NCBI's taxonomy places the organism in Eukaryota, Metazoa, Arthropoda, Insecta, Hemiptera, Adelgidae. The transcript is spliced from 2 exons. The record is from RefSeq and is a predicted model, not a curated record.